This 402-nucleotide ribosomal RNA is filed under the name bacterium enrichment culture clone ALO1_GLFRUDD03GY82S. RNAcentral's name for it is "bacterial SSU rRNA". It matches the Rfam family "Bacterial small subunit ribosomal RNA", at positions 9 to 416 of the family's 1533-position model. The record is from RNAcentral.
GAGUUUUGGCUCAGAUUGAACGCUGGCGGCAUGCCUUACACAUGCAAGUCGAACGGCAGCACGGAGCUUGCUCCUGGUGGCGAGUGGCGAACGGGUGAGUAAUGCAUCGGAACGUAUCCUGGAGUGGGGGAUAACGUAGCGAAAGUUACGCUAAUACCGCAUAUUCUGUGAGCAGGAAAGCGGGGGACCUUCGGGCCUCGCGCUCUUGGAGCGGCCGAUGUCGGAUUAGCUAGUUGGUGAGGUAAAGGCUCACCAAGGCGACGAUCCGUAGCAGGUCUGAGAGGAUGAUCUGCCACACUGGAACUGAGACACGGUCCAGACUCCGUACGGGAGGCAGCAGUGGGGAAUUUUGGACAAUGGGGGCAACCCUGAUCCAGCCAUGCCGCGUGAGUGAAGAAGGCC